Molecule: ribosomal RNA, 492 nt
Filed under: uncultured bacterium
Lineage: Bacteria
Description: partial 16S ribosomal RNA
Rfam family: Bacterial small subunit ribosomal RNA
Source: RNAcentral
AGUGAACGCUGGCGGUAGGCCUAACACAUGCAAGUCGAACGGCAGCACAGUAAGAGCUUGCUCUUACGGGUGGCGAGUGGCGGACGGGUGAGGAAUACAUCGGAAUCUACUUUUUCGUGGGGGAUAACGUAGGGAAACUUACGCUAAUACCGCAUACGACCUACGGAUGAAAGCAGGGGAUCUUCGGACCUUGCGCGAUUGAAUGAGCCGAUGUCGGAUUAGCUAGUUGGCGGGGUAAAGGCCCACCAAGGCGACGAUCCGUAGCUGGUCUGAGAGGAUGAUCAGCCACACUAGAACUGAGACACGGUCCAGACUCCUACGGGAGGCAGCAGUGGGGAAUAUUGGACAAUGGGCGCAAGCCUGAUCCAGCCAUACCGCGUGGGUGAAGAAGGCCUUCGGGUUGUAAAGCCCUUUUGUUGGGAAAGAAAAGCAGCAGGUUAAUACCCCGCUGUUCUGACGGUACCCAAAGAAUAAGCACCGGCUAACUUCGUG